AGAGUUUGAUCCUGGCUCAGGACGAACGCUGGCGGCGCGCCUAACACAUGCAAGUCGAACGGAGUCAAGAGGAGCUUGCUUUUCUUGACUUAGUGGCGAACGGGUGAGUAACGCAUGAGUAACCUGCCCUGGAGUGGGGGACAACAGUUGGAAACGACUGCUAAUACCGCAUAAGCCCACGGCCCGGCAUCGGGCUGCGGGAAAAGGAUUUAUUCGCUUCAGGAUGGACUCGCGUCCAAUUAGCUAGUUGGUGAGGUAACGGCCCACCAAGGCGACGAUUGGUAGCCGGACUGAGAGGUUGAACGGCCACAUUGGGACUGAGACACGGCCCAGACUCCUACGGGAGGCAGCAGUGGGGGAUAUUGCACAAUGGGGGAAACCCUGAUGCAGCGACGCCGCGUGGAGGAAGAAGGUUUUCGGAUUGUAAACUCCUGUCGUUAGGGACGAUAAUGACGGUACCUAACAAGAAAGCACCGGCUAACUACGUGCCAGCAGCCGCGGUAAAACGUAGGGUGCAAGCGUUGUCCGGAAUUACUGGGUGUAAAGGGAGCGCAGGCGGACCGGCAAGUUGGAAGUGAAAGCUAUGGGCUCAACCCAUAAAUUGCUUUCAAAACUGCUGGCCUUGAGUAGUGCAGAGGUAGGUGGAAUUCCCGGUGUAGCGGUGGAAUGCGUAGAUAUCGGGAGGAACACCAGUGGCGAAGGCGACCUACUGGGCACCAACUGACGCUGAGGCUCGAAAGCAUGGGUAGCAAACAGGAUUAGAUACCCUGGUAGUCCAUGCCGUAAACGAUGAUUACUAGGUGUUGGAGGAUUGACCCCUUCAGUGCCGCAGUUAACACAAUGAGUAAUCCACCUGGGGAGUACGACCGCAAGGUUGAAACUCAAAGGAAUUGACGGGGUCCCGCACAAGCAGUGGAGUAUGUGGUUUAAUUCGAAGCAACGCGAAGAACCUUACCAGGUCUUGACAUCCGAUGCAUAGUGCAGAGAUGCAUGAAGUCCUUCGGGACAUCGAGACAGGUGGUGCAUGGUUGUCGUCAGCUCGUGUCGUGAGAUGUUGGGUUAAGUCCCGCAACGAGCGCAACCCUUAUUGCCAGUUACUACGAAAGAGGACUCUGGCGAGACUGCCGUUGACAAAACGGAGGAAGGUGGGGAUGACGUCAAAUCAUCAUGCCCUUUAUGACCUGGGCUACACACGUACUACAAUGGCGUUUAACAAAGAGAAGCAAGACCGCGAGGU
Molecule: ribosomal RNA, 1237 nt
Filed under: metagenome
Description: bacterial SSU rRNA
Rfam family: Bacterial small subunit ribosomal RNA
Source: RNAcentral